GCCGGGGGGGGCGUGCUAUACAUGCAAGUAGAACGCUGAAGAGAGGAGCUUGCUCUUCUUGGAUGAGUUGCGAACGGGUGAGUAACGCGUAGGUAACCUGCCUUGUAGCGGGGGAUAACUAUUGGAAACGAUAGCUAAUACCGCAUAACAAUGGAUGACACAUGUCAUUUAUUUGAAAGGGGCAAUUGCUCCACUACAAGAUGGACCUGCGUUGUAUUAGCUAGUAGGUGAGGUAACGGCUCACCUAGGCGACGAUACAUAGCCGACCUGAGAGGGUGAUCGGCCACACUGGGACUGAGACACGGCCCAGACUCCUACGGGAGGCAGCAGUAGGGAAUCUUCGGCAAUGGGGGCAACCCUGACCGAGCAACGCCGCGUGAGUGAAGAAGGUUUUCGGAUCGUAAAGCUCUGUUGUAAGUCAAGAACGAGUGUGAGAGUGGAAAGUUCACACUGUGACGGUAGCUUACCAGAAAGGGACGGCUAACUACGUGCCAGCAGCCGCGGUAAUACGUAGGUCCCGAGCGUUGUCCGGAUUUAUUGGGCGUAAAGCGAGCGCAGGCGGUUUGAUAAGUCUGAAGUUAAAGGCUGUGGCUCAACCAUAGUUCGCUUUGGAAACUGUCAAACUUGAGUGCAGAAGGGGAGAGUGGAAUUCCAUGUGUAGCGGUGAAAUGCGUAGAUAUAUGGAGGAACACCGGUGGCGAAAGCGGCUCUCUGGUCUGUAACUGACGCUGAGGCUCGAAAGCGUGGGGAGCGAACAGGAUUAGAUACCCUGGUAGUCCACGCCGUAAACGAUGAGUGCUAGGUGUUGGAUCCUUUCCGGGAUUCAGUGCCGCAGCUAACGCAUUAAGCACUCCGCCUGGGGAGUACGACCGCAAGGUUGAAACUCAAAGGAAUUGACGGGGGCCCGCACAAGCGGUGGAGCAUGUGGUUUAAUUCGAAGCAACGCGAAGAACCUUACCAGGUCUUGACAUCCCGAUGCUAUUUCUAGAGAUAGAAAGUUACUUCGGUACAUCGGUGACAGGUGGUGCAUGGUUGUCGUCAGCUCGUGUCGUGAGAUGUUGGGUUAAGUCCCGCAACGAGCGCAACCCCUAUUGUUAGUUGCCAUCAUUCAGUUGGGCACUCUAGCGAGACUGCCGGUAAUAAACCGGAGGAAGGUGGGGAUGACGUCAAAUCAUCAUGCCCCUUAUGACCUGGGCUACACACGUGCUACAAUGGUUGGUACAACGAGUUGCGAGUCGGUGACGGCAAGCUAAUCUCUUAAAGCCAAUCUCAGUUCGGAUUGUAGGCUGCAACUCGCCUACAUGAAGUCGGAAUCGCUAGUAAUCGCGGAUCAGCACGCCGCGGUGAAUACGUUCCCGGGCCUUGUACACACCGCCCGUCACACCACGAGAGUUUGUAACACCCGAAGUCGGUGAGGUAACCUUUUGGAGCCAGCCGCUUAAGGUGGGAAUAGAUUU
RNAcentral lists this ribosomal RNA (1457 nucleotides) under Streptococcus salivarius. Its description in RNAcentral is "bacterial SSU rRNA". It matches the Rfam family "Bacterial small subunit ribosomal RNA". Lineage: Bacteria; Bacillati; Bacillota; Bacilli; Lactobacillales; Streptococcaceae. The record is from RNAcentral.